This is a long non-coding RNA of Etheostoma spectabile (orangethroat darter), 332 nucleotides long. RefSeq lists it as uncharacterized. The transcript is spliced from 2 exons. NCBI's taxonomy places the organism in Eukaryota, Metazoa, Chordata, Actinopteri, Perciformes, Percidae. The record is from RefSeq and is a predicted model, not a curated record.
UCAAUGUUUUUGUUCGCAGUCAGGAGGAUGUUCAGAGUUUGCAGGAUGCUCUGUCACUUUAUGAGAAGGCCACAUCUGCACGGGUGAACUGGGCUAAGAGUGAGGCACUGCUGGUGGGUCGGUGGAGAGAUACAGCGGUGCCCAGUCUGCCAGGGGGACUUGAGUGGGGGAAAGAAGGGUUAAAAGUUUUGGGUGUGUUUUUGGGUACGGAGGGGUUUGUGCAGAAGAACUGGGAGGGAGUGAGGGAGAAGGUGUGCGCUCGGUUGUCUAAAUGGCGGUGGUUGCUACCUCGGCUGUCCUAUAGGGGCAGAGUUUUGGUUGCCAAUAACUUG